GACGAACGCUGGCGGCGUGCUUAACACAUGCAAGUCGAACGGAAAGGCCCUGCUUUUGUGGGGUGCUCGAGUGGCGAACGGGUGAGUAACACGUGAGUAACCUGCCCUUGACUUUGGGAUAACUUCAGGAAACUGGGGCUAAUACCGGAUAGGAGCUCCUGCUGCAUGGUGGGGGUUGGAAAGUUUCGGCGGUUGGGGAUGGACUCGCGGCUUAUCAGCUUGUUGGUGGGGUAGUGGCUUACCAAGGCUUUGACGGGUAGCCGGCCUGAGAGGGUGACCGGCGACAUUGGGACUGCGAGACGGACCAGAGUCCAACGGGAGGCAGCAGUGGGGAAUAUUGCACAAUGGGAGGAAGCCUGAUGCAGCAACGCCGCGUGCGGGAUGACGGCCUUCGGGGUGUAAACCGCUUUCGCCUGAGACGAAGCGUGAGUGACGGUAAUGGGUAAAGAAGCACCGGCUAACUACGUG
This 468-nucleotide ribosomal RNA is filed under the name uncultured bacterium. RNAcentral describes it as "partial 16S ribosomal RNA". It matches the Rfam family "Bacterial small subunit ribosomal RNA", at positions 28 to 507 of the family's 1533-position model. The record is from RNAcentral.